Non-coding RNA from Ustulina deusta, 89 nucleotides. The record is from the annotation of a GenBank genome assembly. Lineage: Eukaryota; Fungi; Ascomycota; Sordariomycetes; Xylariales; Xylariaceae.
GGGGUGAUGGCGCAGUUGGGAGCGCGUUAGACUGAAGUAAACUUUAUUCAAUUAUCUAAAGGUCACCGGUUCAAGCCCGGUUCACCCCA